RNAcentral lists this ribosomal RNA (364 nucleotides) under uncultured Pseudomonas sp. RNAcentral's name for it is "bacterial SSU rRNA". It matches the Rfam family "Bacterial small subunit ribosomal RNA", at positions 1020 to 1382 of the family's 1533-position model. Lineage: Bacteria; Pseudomonadati; Pseudomonadota; Gammaproteobacteria; Pseudomonadales; Pseudomonadaceae. The record is from RNAcentral.
CUUCGGACAAUAUACAAGGUGCUGCAGUGGUUGUCGUCAGCUCGUGUCGUGAGAUGUUGGGUUAAGUCCCGUAACGAGCGCAACCCUUGUCCUUAGUUACCAGCACGUUAUGGUGGGCACUCUAAGGAGACUGCCGGUGACAAACCGGAGGAAGGUGGGGAUGACGUCAAGUCAUCAUGGCCCUUACGGCCUGGGCUACACACGUGCUACAAUGGUCGGUACAAAGGGUUGCCAAGCCGCGAGGUAGAGCUAAUCCCAUAAAACCGAUCGUAGUCCGGAUCGCAGUCUGCAACUCGACUGCGUGAAGUCGGAAUCGCUAGUAAUCGUGAAUCAGAAUGUCACGGUGAAUACGUUCCCGGGCCUU